AUGUUACAGGCGCCGUCUGAGAAUAAGUAUUGCGUUUAGUGGGGGCACAAAGUAGGAGCAGGAGUUGGAGGGGAAAGGGCGGGAAAGUUUCCCACCACCUGGAGCUGUUUGGGGGAUGGAAGUGGCAACGGGGAGCUCUCCCAUACACCCUUAGGUCUGCUAGCCAGCCUUCGGUCCUGAUGGUCACAGGCUCUCUGCCUGCCCUGUCUGGCCGGGCCCAGCUUCUGGGGCGGGGAUGGAGUCCUCCAGGCUCCCAGGAGAUGCUGAGGACAUCAGCUUGUCAGUAUCCUAAUUGUCCGCAGCGGGGACUGUGUGUGUCAACAAGGGAACAGAGCCGCCCGGAGGCAGGCCAUGCCUUCCGUGGCACAGCCUCGCCCAGGGAAUCCCAAAUAGAUGUUGUCUUCCACAAGACCUAUGUUUAUCUAAGAAAUGCUUCAACCUGGGGAGAAAAUAAAUAAUAAGUAAAGAAACCAUCCAUCCAUGGCCAGAGACCUGAACAUUGCCCGGGAGAUCCAGCUACGUUUGUCCGGAAAGCCAUGGACUUGCGACUUUACGUGGAACGGCUAAGGGAACACAUGUUCAUGGCACACUCCAGACUCGCCCCACCGCAUCCUCGUGACAGGUCAGCUUCUCUCUGCACGCAGAUCUGUGAUUCGGGGCUAUUACAAGAUACUGACUACAGUUCCCUGAUUGCAUCUGUCCCUGGGCCUCUGCAGUACAGUUACUGUCACAGUGAUGCUGUAUCGCACGUGCAUUAAUGUGGAAAUUCUGCCUGCAGCACAGGUAGCAGUUCACAACUGAGGACCAGAGACAGCUUCUUCCUUACCUCGCCAGUCUCACUGCUCAGCGUGGAAACCGAGAAACAAAAUUCUAACAUGAAUUAUCUAAAUUAACUAAAGUCAAGCAUGAAUCGCUAGGUCAUGCCAGCA
This is a long non-coding RNA of Camelus dromedarius (Arabian camel), 929 nucleotides long. RefSeq lists it as uncharacterized. NCBI's taxonomy places the organism in Eukaryota, Metazoa, Chordata, Mammalia, Artiodactyla, Camelidae. The record is from RefSeq and is a predicted model, not a curated record. The transcript has 2 exons.